Molecule: long non-coding RNA, 725 nt
Organism: Myotis davidii
Lineage: Eukaryota; Metazoa; Chordata; Mammalia; Chiroptera; Vespertilionidae
Exons: 2
Source: RefSeq, a predicted model, not a curated record
CAGAUGUACAGUGCCUCUAUUUUUGUGAAUGUUUUGCUUGUUUUGUAAGUUUGUUUUGAAAUACCUGCUCUCUUGGCAUUCCUAGAGCCACUUCUGUAUUCCCAACAGGAAGAACUGUUAACUAACCUGCUGCUGAACAUGUAUUGAUUUCCCCUGUAGUAUCAAAUCAGUCCUCUGAGAAUUGAGUUUACAGUCCCUUUACCUGCAGUUUCUUGUUAGCCCCAUACUGACAAGCAAUUUUUUCCAAGGUUUUUAACCUUACUACUUUUUAUUGUGCAGUUACAACAAAGACCUUUUAGACAAGGUGAUGGAAAUGGCUGAUGGGAUUGAAGUGGAAGACCUGCCACAAUUUACGACCAGAAGUGAGUUAAUGAAAAAGCAUCAAAGCUAAGACAGAAGAUCCAUCACAUUUUCAUUAUCAGGUACAGGCUAGAAAGGAAGAAUGUGACGUUGACCACAGAAGCUCUCCUACAACUCCUCGUAUUACCAACAUGUAGGGAAGAGGCAGUUGAAAUGAAAGUGGCAUUUUAAAAGGUCUCAUUCUUCCAGUAGCUAUCAUUGUAAAAGUAUGCAUGGAUAUUUAUGUAUUUAUAAAUCAUGCCUUUUUAUUUUGUUUCUGAAUAUCAAACUUUUUGUUAAAAUGCAUAUUUUUUUAUGUUGAUGUAAUAAUGGCAGGUAAUGGAUUUUACACUUUGGAUUUCUCAACAAUGUACCUUUAAGCGUGA